CAGUAGCGUAUAUUAAAGUUGUUGCAGUUAAAAAGCUCGUAGUUGGAUUUCUGGUUUGACGAGUCUGACCCGCUGUGUUAUUCGCAGUGAGUGUCGGUUUACUUGUCUACCAUCCUUCCAGAAAACGAUUCUACCAUUCAUUUGGCCGGGAUCGGGAUCUGGAACAUUUACUUUGAAAAAAUUAGAGUGUUCAAAGCAGGCUUCGCUGUGAAUACAUUAGCAUGGAAUAAUAAUUUAGGACUUCGGUUCUAUUUUGUUGGUUUUCAGGACUGGAGUAAUGAUUGAUAGGGAUAGUUGGGGGUGCUAGUAUUCAGCGGCCAGAGGUGAAAUUCUUGGAUUCGCUGAAGACUAACUUAUGCGAAAGCAUUCACCAAGGAUGUCUUCUUUA
RNAcentral lists this ribosomal RNA (388 nucleotides) under uncultured eukaryote. Its description in RNAcentral is "partial 18S ribosomal RNA". It matches the Rfam family "Eukaryotic small subunit ribosomal RNA", at positions 592 to 975 of the family's 1831-position model. The record is from RNAcentral.